Molecule: ribosomal RNA, 492 nt
Filed under: uncultured bacterium
Lineage: Bacteria
Description: partial 16S ribosomal RNA
Rfam family: Bacterial small subunit ribosomal RNA
Source: RNAcentral
AGUGAACGCUGGCGGUAGGCCUAACACAUGCAAGUCGAACGGAAGCACAGUAAGAGCUUGCUCUUACGGGUGGCGAGUGGCGGACGGGUGAGGCAUACAUCGGAAUCUACUUUUUCGUGGGGGAUAACGUAGGGCCACUUACGCUAAUACCGCAUACGAUCUACGGGUGAAAGCAGGGGAUCUUCGGACCUUGCGCGAUUGAUUGAGCCGAUGUCGGAUUAGCUAGUUGGCGGGGUAAAGGCCCACCAAGGCGACGAUACGUAGCUGGUCUGAGAGGAUGAUCGGCCACACUGGAACUGAGACACGGUCCAGACUCCUACGGGAGGCAGCAGUGGGGAAUAUUGGACAAUGGGCGCAAGCCUGAUCCAGCCAUACCGCGUGAGUGAAGAAGGCCUUCGGGUUGUAAAGCCCUGUUGUUGGGAAAGAAAAGCAGCAUGUUAAUACCCCGCUGUUCUGACGGUACCCAAAGAAUAAGCACCGGCUAACUUCGUG